Molecule: ribosomal RNA, 1234 nt
Filed under: uncultured marine group II euryarchaeote HF130_31B11
Lineage: Archaea; Methanobacteriati; Thermoplasmatota; Candidatus Poseidoniia; Candidatus Poseidoniales
Description: bacterial SSU rRNA
Rfam family: Archaeal small subunit ribosomal RNA
Source: RNAcentral
AGCCAUGCGAGUCGAGAGUCUUAGGGACUCGGCGUACUGCUCAGUAACACGUGGAUAAUCUGACCUACGCUCGAGGAUAAUCUCGGGAAACUGAGUUCAAUACUCGAUAGAUCACAUGUCCUGGAAUGGCUUGUGGUUGAAAGGUCACGGCGUAGGAUGAGUCUGCGGCGUAUCAGGUCGUAGUGGGUGUAAUGGACCCACUAGCCCUCGACGCGUACGGGUUGUGAGAGCAAUUGCCCGGAGAUGGAUUCUGAGACACGAAUCCAGACCCUACGGGGUGCAGCAGGCGCGAAAACUUCACACUGCAGGAAACUGUGAUGAGGGAACUCCAAGUGGCAGCACUAAGUGCUGUCUUUUCUGGACUCUUAAAAGGUCCAGGAAGAAGGGCUGGGUAAGACCGGUGCCAGCCGCCGCGGUAAUACCGGCAGCUCAAGUGGUCGCCGCUUUUAUUGGGCCUAAAACGUCCGUAGCCGGCUUGGUAAACCCGUGGGUAAAUCAACCAGCUCAACUGGUUGAAUUCCGCGGAGACUGCCUGGCUUGGGACCGGGAGAGGCGUGAGGUACUCUCGGGGUAGGGGUAAAAUCCUGUCAUCCCGAGAGGACCACCUGUGGCGAAGGCGUCACGCUAGAACGGAUCCGACGGUCAGGGACGAAGCCUAGGGGCACGAACCGGAUUAGAUACCCGGGUAGUCCUAGGUGUAAACGCUGUGGACUUGGUGUUGGAAACCCCACGAGGGUCUUCAGUGCCGUAGCGAAGGUGAUUAGUCCACUGCCUGGGGAGUACGGUCGCAAGGCUGAAACUUAAAGGAAUUGGCGGGGGAGCACUGCAACGGGAGGAGCGUGCGGUUUAAUUGGAUUCAACGCCGGAAAACUCACCAGUGCCGACGGUUGUAUGAAGGCCAGUUUAACGAGCUUGCCGGAUUUUCCGAGAGGUGGUGCAUGGCCGUCGUCAGUUCGUACCGUAAGGCGUUCUGUUAAGUCAGAUAACGAACGAGACCCUCAUCCAUAUUUGCCACCCUGGUCUCCGGAUCAGGAGCACUAUAUGGAGACCGCUGGCGUGAAGUCAGAGGAAGGCGAGGGCAACGGUAGGUCAGUAUGCCCCGAAUGCACUGGGCUACACGCGCGCUACAAAGGGCAGGACAAUGGGCAGCCACGUCGCAAGACGGCGCUAUCCUGAAACCUGCUCGUAGUUCGGAUUGAGGGCUGUAACUCGCCCUCAUGAAGCUGGAUUCCGU